UAGCAUAUCAAUAAGCGGAGGAAAAGAAACCAACCGGGAUUGCCUCAGUAACGGCGAGUGAAGCGGCAAGAGCUCAAAUUUGAAAUCUGGCCCCUCCGGGGUCCGAGUUGUAAUUUGCAGAGGAUGCUUCGGGUGUGGCCCCUGUCUAAGUGCCCUGGAACGGGCCGUCAGAGAGGGUGAGAAUCCCGUCUUGGGCAGGGUGCCCAUGCCCGUGUGAAGCUCNUUCGACGAGUCGAGUUGUUUGGGAAUGCAGCUCUAAAUGGGUGGUAAAUUUCAUCUAAAGCUAAAUACCGGCCGGAGACCGAUAGCGCACAAGUAGAGUGAUCGAAAGAUGAAAAGCACUUUGAAAAGAGAGUUAAACAGCACGUGAAAUUGUUGAAAGGGAAGCGCUUGCGACCAGACUCGGCCUCGGGGUUCAGCCAGCACUCGUGCUGGUGUACUUCCCCGGGGGCGGGCCAGCGUCGGUUUGGGCGGCCGGUCAAAGGCCCCAGGAAUGUAUCACCCUCCGGGGUUGUCUUAUAGCCUGGGGUGCAAUGCGGCCAGCCUGGACCGAGGAACGCGCUUCGGCACGGACGCUGGCAUAAUGGUUGCAAACGACCCGUCUUGAAACACGGACCAAGGAGUCUAACAUCUACGCGAGUGUUCGGGUGUCAAACCCGUACGCGCAGUGAAAGCGAACGGAGGUGGGAGCCCCCUCGGGGCGCACCAUCGACCGAUCCUGAUGUCUUCGGAUGGAUUUGAGUAAGAGCGUAGCUGUGGGGACCCGAAAGAUGGUGAACUAUGCCUGAAUAGGGCGAAGCCAGAGGAAACUCUGGUGGAGGCUCGCAGCGGUUCUGACGUGCAAAUCGAUCGUCAAAUUUGGGUAUAGGGGCGAAAGACUAAU
RNAcentral lists this ribosomal RNA (883 nucleotides) under Aspergillus mellinus. Its description in RNAcentral is "LSU rRNA". It matches the Rfam family "Eukaryotic large subunit ribosomal RNA", at positions 36 to 935 of the family's 3401-position model. Lineage: Eukaryota; Fungi; Ascomycota; Eurotiomycetes; Eurotiales; Aspergillaceae. The record is from RNAcentral.